Molecule: ribosomal RNA, 504 nt
Filed under: uncultured bacterium
Lineage: Bacteria
Description: partial 16S ribosomal RNA
Rfam family: Bacterial small subunit ribosomal RNA
Source: RNAcentral
GACGAACGCUAGCGGCAGGCCUAAUACAUGCAAGUCGAACGGGAUCUGAGGGUAGCUUGCUACCCGAUUUGAGAGUGGCGCACGGGUGCGUAACGCGUGAGCAACCUACCCAUAUCAGGGGGAUAGCCCGGAGAAAUUCGGAUUAACACCGCAUAAGAAUGUAUUAUCACAUGUUAAAGCAUUUAAAUAUUUAUAGGAUAUGGAUGGGCUCGCGUGACAUUAGCUAGUUGGUGAGGUAACGGCUCACCAAGGCGACGAUGUCUAGGGGCUCUGAGAGGAGAAUCCCCCACACUGGUACUGAGACACGGACCAGACUCCUACGGGAGGCAGCAGUAAGGAAUAUUGGUCAAUGGGCGGAAGCCUGAACCAGCCAUGCCGCGUGCAGGACGACUGCCCUAUGGGUUGUAAACUGCUUUUGUCGAGGAAUAAACCUAUCUACGUGUAGAUAGUUGAACGUACUCGAAGAAUAAGGAUCGGCUAACUCCGUGCCAGCAGCCGCCGUAA